CUACGGGACGCUCCAGUGGGGAAUAUUGCGCAAUGGAGGAAACUCUGACGCAGCAAUGCCAUGUGAAGGAUGAAGGCCUUAGGGUUGUAAACUUCUGUCUAGAGGGAAGAAGUACUGACGGUACCUCUAAAGAAAGCACCGGCUAACUCCGUGCCAGCAGCCGCGGUAAUACGGAGGGUGCAAGCGUUAUUCGGAUUUACUAGGUGUAAAGGGCGUGUAGGCGGUUCUUUAAGUUAGAUGUGAAAUCUUACAGCUCAACUGUAUGGCUGCAUCUAAAACUGAUAAACUAGAGUAUUGAAGGGGAAAAUGGAAUUGCUAGUGUAGCGGUGGAAUGUGUAGAUACUAGAAGGAACACCAAUGGCGAAAGCAGUUUUCUGGUUAAAUACUGACGCUAAGGCGCGAAAGCUAGGGGAGCAAACAGGAUUAGAUACCCGUGUAGUC
This 441-nucleotide ribosomal RNA is filed under the name uncultured bacterium. RNAcentral describes it as "partial 16S ribosomal RNA". It matches the Rfam family "Bacterial small subunit ribosomal RNA", at positions 339 to 795 of the family's 1533-position model. The record is from RNAcentral.